CAAUAGCGUAUAUUUAAGUUGUUGCAGUUAAAAAGCUCGUAGUUGGAUUUCGGUUAAGAGCGACCGGUCCGCCGUUUGGUGUGCACUGGUUGGUUUUAACUUCCUGUAGAGGACGUGCUCUGGGUUUAACGACCUGGACUCGGAGUCUACGUGGUUACUUUGAAAAAAUUAGAGUGUUCAAAGCGGGCUUACGCUUGAAUAUUUCAGCAUGGAAUAACACUAUAGGACUCCUGUCCUAUUUCGUUGGUCUCGGGACGGGAGUAAUGAUUAAGAGGAACAGUUGGGGGCAUUCGUAUUUCAUUGUCAGAGGUGAAAUUCUUGGAUUUAUGAAAGACGGACUUCUGCGAAAGCAUUUGCCAAGGAUGUUUUCAUUAA
RNAcentral lists this ribosomal RNA (375 nucleotides) under uncultured eukaryote. RNAcentral describes it as "partial 18S ribosomal RNA". It matches the Rfam family "Eukaryotic small subunit ribosomal RNA", at positions 592 to 976 of the family's 1831-position model. The record is from RNAcentral.